RNAcentral lists this ribosomal RNA (387 nucleotides) under uncultured bacterium. RNAcentral's name for it is "bacterial SSU rRNA". It matches the Rfam family "Bacterial small subunit ribosomal RNA", at positions 28 to 416 of the family's 1533-position model. The record is from RNAcentral.
GACGAACGCUGGCGGCGUGCUUAACACAUGCAAGUCGAGCGGUAAGGCUCCUUCGGGAGUACACGAGCGGCGAACGGGUGAGUAACACGUGAGCAAUCUGCCCUUCACUUUGGGAUAACUCCGGGAAACCGGUGCUAAUACCGAAUGCGACCACUUCAGGCAUCUGACGGUGGUGGAAAGUUCCGGCGGUGAAGGAUGAGCUCGCGGCCUAUCAGCUUGUUGGUGAGGUAAUGGCUCACCAAGGCUUCGACGGGUAGCCGGCCUGAGAGGGUGACCGGCCACACUGGGACUGAGACACGGCCCAGACUCCUACGGGAGGCAGCAGUGGGGAAUAUUGGACAAUGGGCGAAAGCCUGAUCCAGCAACGCCGCGUGAGGGAUGACGGCC